Tripterygium wilfordii is the source of this 923-nucleotide long non-coding RNA. RefSeq lists it as uncharacterized. The transcript is spliced from 2 exons. Lineage: Eukaryota; Viridiplantae; Streptophyta; Magnoliopsida; Celastrales; Celastraceae. The record is from RefSeq and is a predicted model, not a curated record.
UGCGUUUUGUCUCUCAAAGUCGCCAUCUUUGCUCGGCUCACUGUAUGCCUUAGCUCAACCCAGAACGCCCUUGUAAGAAUUCAUCAUCUCUGUUGGCUUUUGGGAUUGAUUGAGAAUCGGUCUUGUGUGAACCUUUAGUUUAUUUUUCUGGGUCUUUAUUCAAUUUGGGAAGUUCAAAUUUUUCCCUGAUUCGACUUUUUCAUUGGGUACUGGGAUUUUGUCAAACUGGGUUUGAUUCGGUCUUUUAUUCUGAUUGCGCGAUUUUUUGUUGUUGUGAUCAGACUGAUUUAUAGCGGUUCUGCUCAAAUAUGCGAAAUUAGUCUUUUACAUAUGCUGAUCAAGUCAUGGCUUAGCCUGGUUUGCAGAUGCAUAAAUGCAAGACAGAACAUUGUGUUUGUGAGAGAUGAAGCAUACUUGAAUUGUUGAACAUACAAAUCAUCAUACAAACUAGAGCAGGAAACUGAAAAUCUAUAUAGGCAACUUGGGAUCUUCAUAUGGGUGCUCUGCAGUUGGGUUUACAAGUUGCUUCCGGGGGUCGCGGAAGCUCCCAUGGUUCAUACGUGGCCUUCUCUGCUGCAUCAGACUCCUAUUUUCAGCGUGAUCGCUUGUACCACCGGCUGCACCAACUCCAAUAUUGGCAGCUGAAUGAACUGAUUCCGAUGAGGUGAUGAAAACCAAGAGCAAGAAGAGCGCAAAGACUCUGUAUAAAGCCCUUAACUGCAUCAUUGUGUUUCUUUUUCAGUCUGUGGAGAGGGUAGAAGUAGAUUGAUAAAUAUUUAAAGAGUUGUAAAGGUGACAACUUUAACUUUGCUUUGGUUGGAAGUCAGUGAACAAAUCAUUCAACUUCUCACUCCAAGUAUUGAUUGCUGUGAGUGACUUCGUUUUGCUAUGAGUGGUUAUUUUCUUGGUGGGUAUUGUUAUUG